This 1124-nucleotide ribosomal RNA is filed under the name Bacillus paralicheniformis. Its description in RNAcentral is "partial 23S ribosomal RNA". It matches the Rfam family "Bacterial large subunit ribosomal RNA", at positions 1 to 1118 of the family's 2925-position model. The record is from RNAcentral. Lineage: Bacteria; Bacillati; Bacillota; Bacilli; Caryophanales; Bacillaceae.
GGUUAAGUUAGAAAGGGCGCACGGUGGAUGCCUUGGCACUAGGAGCCGAUGAAGGACGGGACGAACACCGAUAUGCUUCGGGGAGCUGUAAGCAAGCUUUGAUCCGGAGAUUUCCGAAUGGGGAAACCCACUGCUCGUAAUGGAGCAGUAUCCAUAUCUGAAUUCAUAGGAUAUGAGAAGGCAGACCCGGGGAACUGAAACAUCUAAGUACCCGGAGGAAGAGAAAGCAAAUGCGAUUCCCUGAGUAGCGGCGAGCGAAACGGGAACAGCCCAAACCAAGAGGCUUGCCUCUUGGGGUUGUAGGACACUCUGUACGGAGUUACAAAGGAACGAGGUAGAUGAAGAGGUCUGGAAAGGCCCGCCAUAGGAGGUAACAGCCCUGUAGUCAAAACUUCGUUCUCUCCUGAGUGGAUCCUGAGUACGGCGGAACACGUGAAAUUCCGUCGGAAUCCGGGAGGACCAUCUCCCAAGGCUAAAUACUCCCUAGUGACCGAUAGUGAACCAGUACCGUGAGGGAAAGGUGAAAAGCACCCCGGAAGGGGAGUGAAAGAGAUCCUGAAACCGUGUGCCUACAAGUAGUCAGAGCCCGUUAACGGGUGAUGGCGUGCCUUUUGUAGAAUGAACCGGCGAGUUACGAUCCCGUGCAAGGUUAAGUUUGAAAAGACGGAGCCGCAGCGAAAGCGAGUCUGAAUAGGGCGCAUGAGUACGUGGUCGUAGACCCGAAACCAGGUGAUCUACCCAUGUCCAGGGUGAAGUUCAGGUAACACUGAAUGGAGGCCCGAACCCACGCACGUUGAAAAGUGCGGGGAUGAGGUGUGGGUAGGGGUGAAAUGCCAAUCGAACCUGGAGAUAGCUGGUUCUCUCCGAAAUAGCUUUAGGGCUAGCCUCAAGGUAAGAGUCUUGGAGGUAGAGCACUGAUUGGACUAGGGGCCCCUACCGGGUUACCGAAUUCAGUCAAACUCCGAAUGCCAAAGACUUAUCCUUGGGAGUCAGACUGCGAGUGAUAAGAUCCGUAGUCGAAAGGGAAACAGCCCAGACCGCCAGCUAAGGUCCCAAAGUAUACGUUAAGUGGAAAAGGAUGUGGAGUUGCUUAGACAACCAGGAUGUUGGCUUAGAAGCAGCCA